This 749-nucleotide ribosomal RNA is filed under the name uncultured Sappinia. RNAcentral describes it as "bacterial SSU rRNA". It matches the Rfam family "Eukaryotic small subunit ribosomal RNA", at positions 1 to 564 of the family's 1831-position model. The record is from RNAcentral. Lineage: Eukaryota; Discosea; Longamoebia; Thecamoebida.
GGCGGUCGACUCUGGCAUUAACGAAGUCGAAGCUUCGGUUCCCGGGGAUUCCUUCCUUAGAAGAUUUCCUUGGUUGAUCCUGCCAGUAGUCAUAUGCUUGUCUCAAAGAUUAAGCCAUGCAUGUUUAAGUAUAAACCGCUUGUGCCGCAAGGUGCAAAACGGGUGAAACUGCGAAUGGCUCAUUAAAUCAGCAAUCGUUUAUUUGAUUGUGCGCUAUUGUGGUGUUUGGUUUGGGGGUUCGCCUCUGGAUCAAAGUCCGCAAAUGGCUACAUGGAUAACCGUGGUAAUUCAAGAGCUAAUACAUGAAGGAAAAACAAGGCUGACUUUUCGCAAGAGAGGAAGGCCCGCAUUUAUUAGAUACAUACGAAAACCGGAACUCAUGGGGCAACCUGUGGGCCAAAGAGUUGGCGAUUCAUAAUGACUGCGCGAAUCGCAUGGCCCUCACUCUCGGGUGGGAAUGGCUGGCGAUGGAUCAUUCAAAUUUCUGCCCCAUCAAUUUUCGAUGGUUGGAUCGAGGCCAACCAUGGUGAUGACGGGUAACGGAGAAUUGGGGUUCGAUUCCGGAGAGGGAGCCUGGAGAAACGGCUCCCACUUCCAAGGAAGGCAGCAGGCGCGCAAAUUGCCCAAUCCUGACACAGGGAGGCAGUGACAAGAAAUAACAAUGCAGGACUCUUGAAAUAUAGGGACUGCAAUUGGAAUGAGCACAAUUUAAAACGCUUUCGCGAGGAACAAUUGGAGGGCAAGUCUGG